GUUAUGUAGUUGUAUUGAUGUGACUCUGAUGUAGCAUGUGGCGAGUGUAAGCCAACUCCUUAUACUCACCUUUUUAGUACAUGUACUUGUAACAAUAUCCAUUCUUGCGAAACGAUGAGAUGCAUUUCUAUCCGUGUCGAGGCCCUCGCCCCAAAAUAAGGAUAGGACCACAUCUUGGGUGUAGAAAGUUGGUAUGAGGGAAGUACCGACC
Molecule: long non-coding RNA, 211 nt
Filed under: Hordeum vulgare
Lineage: Eukaryota; Viridiplantae; Streptophyta; Magnoliopsida; Poales; Poaceae
Description: long non-coding RNA (HVUL_LNC004051)
Source: RNAcentral